CUGGGAUAACGUUCGGAAACGGACGCUAAUACCGCAUACGUCCUACGGGAGAAAGCAGGGGACCUUCGGGCCUUGCGCUAUCAGAUGAGCCUAGGUCGGAUUAGCUAGUUGGUGAGGUAAUGGCUCACCAAGGCGACGAUCCGUAACUGGUCUGAGAGGAUGAUCAGUCACACUAGAACUGAGACACGGUCCAGACUCCUACGGGAGGCAGCAGUGGGGAAUAUUGGACAAUGGGCGAAAGCCUGAUCCAGCCAUGCCGCGUGUGUGAAGAAGGUCUUCGGAUUGUAAAGC
Molecule: ribosomal RNA, 291 nt
Filed under: uncultured bacterium
Lineage: Bacteria
Description: partial 16S ribosomal RNA
Rfam family: Bacterial small subunit ribosomal RNA
Source: RNAcentral